Molecule: ribosomal RNA, 514 nt
Filed under: uncultured bacterium
Lineage: Bacteria
Description: partial 16S ribosomal RNA
Rfam family: Bacterial small subunit ribosomal RNA
Source: RNAcentral
GACGAACGCUGGCGGCGUGCCUAACACAUGCAAGUCGAACGGGGAGUUAUUUAUAACUCCUAGUGGCGAACGGGUGAGUAACGCGUAGACAACCUGCCUCUAAAUUGGGGACAACACCGCGAAAGUGGUGCUAAUACCGAAUGUGGUAACUUGGUCGCAUGACUAGGUUAAGAAAGAUGGCCUCUAUAUAUAAGCUAUCGAUUAGAGAUGGGUCUGCGUCUGAUUAGCUAGUUGGUGAGGUAAUGGCUCACCAAGGCGACGAUCAGUAGCCGGUCGGGGAGAAUGACCGGACACCAUGGGACUGAGACACGGCCCAGACUCCUGCGGGAGGCAGCAGUGGGGAAUCUUCCGCAAUGGACGAAAGUCUGACGGGGCAACGCCGCGUGAGUGAAGAAGGGCUUCGGAUUGUAAAGCUCUGUCGUUUGGGACGAACGUGGAUUGUGUGAAUAAUGCAGUCUAAUGACGGUACCAAAGGAGGAAGCCACGGCUAACUACGUGCCAGCCGCCGCCGUAA